AUUGAACGCUGGCGGCAUGCCUUACACAUGCAAGUCGAACGGUAACGGGCCUUCGGGUGCCGACGAGUGGCGGACGGGUGAGUAAUACAUCGGAACGUGCCCGAUCGUGGGGGAUAACGAGGCGAAAGCUUUGCUAAUACCGCAUACGAUCUACGGAUGAAAGCAGGGGACCGCAAGGCCUUGCGCGGAUGGAGCGGCCGAUGGCAGAUUAGGUAGUUGGUGGGAUAAAAGCUUACCAAGCCGACGAUCUGUAGCUGGUCUGAGAGGAUGAUCAGCCACACUGGGACUGAGACACGGCCCAGACUCCUACGGGAGGCAGCAGUGGGGAAUUUUGGACAAUGGGCGCAAGCCUGAUCCAGCCAUGCCGCGUGCAGGAUGAAGGCCUUCGGGUUGUAAACUGCUUUUGUACGGAACGAAAAGCCUUCUUUUAAUACAGGAGGGUCAUGACGGUACCGUAAGAAUAAGCACCGGCUAACUACGUG
This 482-nucleotide ribosomal RNA is filed under the name uncultured bacterium. Its description in RNAcentral is "partial 16S ribosomal RNA". It matches the Rfam family "Bacterial small subunit ribosomal RNA", at positions 30 to 507 of the family's 1533-position model. The record is from RNAcentral.